RNAcentral lists this small RNA (16 nucleotides) under Arabidopsis thaliana (thale cress). RNAcentral's name for it is "ATSL192690". Lineage: Eukaryota; Viridiplantae; Streptophyta; Magnoliopsida; Brassicales; Brassicaceae. The record is from RNAcentral.
GAUUCUUCUCUUGCUU